RNAcentral lists this long non-coding RNA (242 nucleotides) under Mustela putorius furo (domestic ferret). RNAcentral's name for it is "lncRNA (ENSMPUG00000028631.1)". Lineage: Eukaryota; Metazoa; Chordata; Mammalia; Carnivora; Mustelidae. The record is from RNAcentral.
AGCCCCAAGCUGAAGUGGGCUGUGUGAUGUGGUCUCUGGGAUCACUGCUUCUUCCCUUGACUGAGCUCCUUCAGCCCCACGGGCAAGUCCCAGGUCUGCUUCCCACUCUCAACAUCCCCCGUUCCAGACUGAAGGAGGAUACCCCUUUGGACCUGGCUGGAGAUGAAGCGGCCUCCUGGCCCUAAGAGGGUCCUUGCAUGUGUCUUCACUCCCAAGUAAGAGAGAUCAUGACAGAUUUUCUC